Long non-coding RNA from Cyprinus carpio (common carp), 1365 nucleotides. RefSeq lists it as uncharacterized. The record is from RefSeq and is a predicted model, not a curated record. NCBI's taxonomy places the organism in Eukaryota, Metazoa, Chordata, Actinopteri, Cypriniformes, Cyprinidae. The transcript has 4 exons.
CCCUCACCACACCUUUAACUAAAUCCAGUCUGAAACCAGGUAUCAUUUGCACCAUAUGGGAUUUGACGCAGGUAUUUUUUCUUCUCCUUCCUGUGUCUUGUAUACAGAAACACUUACAUGGCAUAAUGAAUGUUUGCAAAUGUAAACUGAUAUUUCCUACUGGCACAAUCAAGAACAAGUGUGAUCAAGUCAACCUAGAUCAAGACAAGACAGGCAGAGAUCUUCUGUCAACAAUAGAAAGGCAGAAAGAUAUCACUGGAGAGUAAAUGAAAAUAGCCACAUGCAAAGCAAAGGUGUCAACAAGACCAGGAAUCUAAGAGGAAAUAGUCCAAAAUCUUCCAUACAUCAGGUGCUUCAGACUAACAAAACAUCCCAGGUAAUGGAAGACGAGGACCAAAUCAUGGAUAUUCUUAAUUUUACACAAAGUGCUUUGCACAGAGAAACUUUUGGAUGUGCUGUAGUAAGUUACUGAUCACCUCAUGAGCUGAACAAAUCCCAAAUAUAUUGCCAGUAUCACCCAGGAUCCAUCAGAAAUGCAACCCAGGACUGGCACCAGCACCACAACUUGCCUGCUGACAUUGCUUGAGGAAGAGGCCUACAAUCCUUAGAGGACAUAAAGAGAGAAAGACACUCUAACUCAGGACUAUUCAGUUAGCUUCAUUUGAGGUCCAGAUUAUCAAACUGAAAAUUUGAAGGGGAGUAGGGGCCAUCCCAAUCUCUUUCUGGGGUCCCUUUAAAAUUAGAAAUUAAAUGUAAAUGCCUAUUCAGCAGUAAAAUGAAAUAAUAUUACAUACAGUAGCAUCUAGGCUAUAAAAGGUUAACAUUAGUGCUAUCCAAAUGAAUAUAGAAACAACAUAAAGAUGGCGUUUUAAAUAUGUUUAAUGACAUCUUUUUACUAGCCUAUUAUUAAUGAAGACCAGUAUCAUUGAUACCAAUAAUGUUACCGAUGUCUCUAUUAUAUUAAUUUUCCCCUCAAUUUUAGCCAUUAAUUAUAGCCAUUUAACAUGACAGUAUAAUUGAAAGCCAUUAUUUUCAACAUUUAUUAGGCUUUGAACAAUAAAACAAAUUUUAAUUUAAGUGAACUUAAAAAAAUCUUAACAUAAAUUCUAAAUUGUAUGCAUAAGCUAUAUUAAUGAAACUUUAUUAAGAUACAAAAUUUAAUCAGCAAGCAGAACAGUCGAGUGUUUUUUCUUUUUCUUUUGUUCUUUGAUAAGUCACACACUACAGCAGGUUUCACUUUAAAAGCAGCGCUGUCUCUUUAAAUCCUGAUGCACAUGAUGCCUAUCUGAUACAUAUCAGAUUCCAUUUCAAAAGGGAACUCCACGCUGCGUCCUCUAGAGGGCGCUAUGGGAACGCCUCCAGCGU